This 262-nucleotide ribosomal RNA is filed under the name Clostridioides difficile. RNAcentral's name for it is "partial 23S ribosomal RNA". It matches the Rfam family "Bacterial large subunit ribosomal RNA", at positions 1545 to 1819 of the family's 2925-position model. The record is from RNAcentral. Lineage: Bacteria; Bacillati; Bacillota; Clostridia; Peptostreptococcales; Peptostreptococcaceae.
CUUUGAUAAUGCUGGGAUGUGAUGGGGAGCGAAAUUUAGUAGCGAAGUAGCUGAUUUCACACUGUCAAGAAAAGUCUCUAUCGAGGUUAAAGGUACCCGUACCGCAAACCGACACAGGUGGGUGAGGAGAGGAUCCUAAGGCCAGCGAGAGAACUGUUGUUAAGGAACUCGGCAAAAUGACCCCGUAACUUAGGGAUAAGGGGUGCCACCAUCAGGUGGCCGCAGAGAAUAGGCCCAAGCGACUGUUUACCAAAAACAUAGG